RNAcentral lists this ribosomal RNA (497 nucleotides) under uncultured bacterium. Its description in RNAcentral is "partial 16S ribosomal RNA". It matches the Rfam family "Bacterial small subunit ribosomal RNA", at positions 28 to 507 of the family's 1533-position model. The record is from RNAcentral.
GAUGAACGCUAGCGGCGUGCCUAAUACAUGCAAGUCGAGCGAACAGCCCAGGAGCUUGCUCCACUGACGUUACCGGCGGAUGACGGAGUAGCAAGUUACUAACCUACGUAUAAUACUGGGAUAACUUCUGGAAACAUGCGCUAAUACCGGAUAAUAUAUUAUCACUCGUUGUUCAAUAGUGCGGGACGGUUUGGCUGUCACUUAUCGAUGUAUCCGGGCCGCAUUAUAUAGUUGGUACGGUACCGGCUUACCAAGGCAACGAUACGUGGCGGACCCGAGAGGGUGAUCGGCCCCACUAGAACUGAACCGCGGUCCAGACCCCUACGGGAGGCAGCGGUGGGGUAACGUCUGCAAGUGGCUAAAGCCUAACGGAGCAACGCCGUGUGAGUGAUGAGGGGCUUCGGAUCUGAAAUGUCUGUUAUUAGGGAAGAACAAAUGUGUAAGGAACGUGGCACGUCUUGACGGUACCUUAUCAGAAAGCCACGGCUAACUACGUG